UUGGCCUUGACAUACUAAGAACUUUCCAGAGAUUGGAUUGGUGCCUUUCGGGAACUUAGAUACAGGUGCUGCAUGGCUGUCGUCAGCUCGUGUCGUGAGAUGUUGGGUUAAGUCCGCAACGAGCGCAACCCUUUUUCCUUAUUUGCCAGCGGGUAAUGCCGGGAACUUUAAGGAUACUGCCAGUGACAAACUGGAGGAAGGCGGGGACGACGUCAAGUCAUCAUGGCCCUUACGGCCAGGGCUACACACGUGCUACAAUGGUCGGUACAAAGGGUUGCUACCUCGCGAGAGGAUGCUAAUCUCAAAAAGCCGAUCGUAGUCCGGAUCGCAGUCUGCAACUCGACUGCGUGAAGUCGGAAUCGCUAGUAAUCGCGGAUCAGAAUGCCGCGGUGAAUACGUUCCCGGGCCUUGUACACACCGCCCGUCACACCAUGGGAGUUUGUUGCACCAGAAGUAGGUAGUCUAACCGCAAGGAGGACGCUUACCACGGUGUGGCCGAUGACUGGGGUGAAGUCGUAACAAGGUAGGCGUAGAUGA
Molecule: ribosomal RNA, 537 nt
Filed under: uncultured bacterium
Lineage: Bacteria
Description: bacterial SSU rRNA
Rfam family: Bacterial small subunit ribosomal RNA
Source: RNAcentral